CCUACGGGAGGCAGCAGUGGGGAAUUUUGGACAAUGGGGGCAACCCUGAUCCAGCAAUGCCGCGUGUGUGAAGAAGGCCUUCGGGUUGUAAAGCACUUUUGUCCGGAAAGAAAACUUCGUCCCUAAUAUGGAUGGAGGAUGACGGUACCGGAAGAAUAAGCACCGGCUAACUACGUGCCAGCAGCCGCGGUAAUACGUAGGGUGCGAGCGUUAAUCGGAAUUACUGGGCGUAAAGCGUGCGCAGGCGGUGAUGUAAGACCGAUGUGAAAUCCCCGGGCUUAACCUGGGAACUGCAUUGGUGACUGCAUUGCUGGAGUAUGGCAGAGGGGGGUGGAAUUCCACGUGUAGCAGUGAAAUGCGUAGAGAUGUGGAGGAACACCGAUGGCGAAGGCAGCCCCCUGGGCCAAUACUGACGCUCAUGCACGAAAGCGUGGGGAGCAAACAGGAUUAGAUACCCUGGUAGUCCACGCCCUAAACGAUGUCAACUGGUUGUCGGGCCUUCAUUGGCUUGGUAACGUAGCUAACGCGUGAAGUUGACCGCCUGGGGAGUACGGUCGCAAGAUUAAAACUCAAAGGAAUUGACGG
RNAcentral lists this ribosomal RNA (585 nucleotides) under Burkholderia sp. XWS-16. Its description in RNAcentral is "bacterial SSU rRNA". It matches the Rfam family "Bacterial small subunit ribosomal RNA", at positions 338 to 916 of the family's 1533-position model. Lineage: Bacteria; Pseudomonadati; Pseudomonadota; Betaproteobacteria; Burkholderiales; Burkholderiaceae. The record is from RNAcentral.